RNAcentral lists this ribosomal RNA (484 nucleotides) under uncultured bacterium. RNAcentral describes it as "partial 16S ribosomal RNA". It matches the Rfam family "Bacterial small subunit ribosomal RNA", at positions 30 to 507 of the family's 1533-position model. The record is from RNAcentral.
AUUGAACGCUGGCGGCAGGCCUAACACAUGCAAGUCGAGCGGAUGAAGGGAGCUUGCUCCUGGAUUCAGCGGCGGACGGGUGAGUAAUGCCUAGGAAUCUGCCUGGUAGUGGGGGAUAACGUCCGGAAACGGGCGCUAAUACUGCAUACGUCGUGAGGGAGAAAGAGGGGGAUCUUCGGACCUCACGCUAUCAGAGGAGCCUAGGUGGGGUUAGCUAGCUGGUGGGGUAAAGGCCUACCAAGGCGACGAUCCGUAACUGGUCUGCGAGGAUGAUAGGUCACCUUGGAGCUUAGACACCUUCCCUCCUCCUGCGGCACGCACCAGUCUGGAAUAUUGGACAAUAGGCGAAAGCCUGAUCCAGCCCUGCCACGUCUGUGAAGAUAGUCUUCGGAUUGUAAUGCACUUUAACUUGUGAUGAACCGCAUUAAGUUGAUACCAUGCUUGUUUGACGUUACCUACAAAAGAAGCACCGGCUAACUUCGUG